CAGUCGAGCGGACAGAUGGGAGCUUGCUCCCUGAUGUUAGCGGCGGACGGGUGAGUAACACGUGGGUAACCUGCCUGUAAGACUGGGAUAACUCCGGGAAACCGGGGCUAAUACCGGAUGGUUGUUUGAACCGCAUGGUUCAAACAUAAAAGGUGGCUUCGGCUACCACUUACAGAUGGACCCGCGGCGCAUUAGCUAGUUGGUGAGGUAACGGCUCACCAAGGCGACGAUGCGUAGCCGACCUGAGAGGGUGAUCGGCCACACUGGGACUGAGACACGGCCCAGACUCCUACGGGAGGCAGCAGUAGGGAAUCUUCCGCAAUGGACGAAAGUCUGACGGAGCAACGCCGCGUGAGUGAUGAAGGUUUUCGGAUCGUAAAGCUCUGUUGUUAGGGAAGAACAAGUACCGUUCGAAUAGGGCGGUACCUUGACGGUACCUAACCAGAAAGCCACGGCUAACUACGUGCCAGCAGCCGCGGUAAUACGUAGGUGGCAAGCGUUGUCCGGAAUUAUUGGGCGUAAAGGGCUCGCAGGCGGUUUCUUAAGUCUGAUGUGAAAGCCCCCGGCUCAACCGGGGAGGGUCAUUGGAAACUGGGGAACUUGAGUGCAGAAGAGGAGAGUGGAAUUCCACGUGUAGCG
Molecule: ribosomal RNA, 639 nt
Filed under: Bacillus subtilis
Lineage: Bacteria; Bacillati; Bacillota; Bacilli; Caryophanales; Bacillaceae
Description: bacterial SSU rRNA
Rfam family: Bacterial small subunit ribosomal RNA
Source: RNAcentral